GAUGAACGCUGGCGGCGUGCCUAAUACAUGCAAGUCGAGCGAACGGACGAGAAGCUUGCUUCUCUGAUGUUAGCGGCGGACGGGUGAGUAACACGUGGAUAACCUACCUAUAAGACUGGGAUAACUUCGGGAAACCGUAGCUAAUACCGGAUAAUAUUUUGAACCGCAUGGUUCAAAAGUGAAAGACGGUCUUGCUGUCACUUAUAGAUGGAUCCGCGCUGCAUUAGCUAGUUGGUAAGGUAACGGCUUACCAAGGCAACGAUGCAUAGCCGACCUGAGAGGGGGAGAGCCCCCACGGGAAGGGAACCCGCGACCGGCCUCCCGGGGGAGGCACAAGAGGGGAAUGGCCGGCAAGGGGCGAAGACCGGAGGGAACAGCGCGGCGGGAGUAAGAAGGUUCUUGGGAGCGUAAAACUCUUUUAUGGGGGAAAAAAAUAUGUGUAAGAAAAUGUACACUCUUGGAGGGUCAUAAAUAAAAAACCCAGGCCAAACCAGGGG
RNAcentral lists this ribosomal RNA (497 nucleotides) under uncultured bacterium. RNAcentral's name for it is "partial 16S ribosomal RNA". It matches the Rfam family "Bacterial small subunit ribosomal RNA", at positions 28 to 508 of the family's 1533-position model. The record is from RNAcentral.